RNAcentral lists this long non-coding RNA (682 nucleotides) under Cricetulus griseus (Chinese hamster). Its description in RNAcentral is "lncRNA (ENSCGRG00015039548.1)". Lineage: Eukaryota; Metazoa; Chordata; Mammalia; Rodentia; Cricetidae. The record is from RNAcentral.
CAGCAUUUCCCAACAUCUCUCUCAACAGGAUAGCAUCAAACUCAGAGAUCUGCCUGCCUCUGCCUUCUAAGUGCUGGGAUUAAAGGCUUGUGCCACUACCACCUGACAUAUAUUCUUAAUUGUGCAUAAGAGUUUCUGAAAAGCAUCCACCUAGUCUAGGAUGGAGAUCACCACAGAUUCCCAUAGACAAAGAUGGAGACACCACAGAUCCCCAUAGACAAGGAUGGAGACACCAUAGUUCCUGCAGACAAGGAUGGAGACACCAUAGAUCCCCAAAGACAAGGAUGGAGACACCAUAGACCCCUGCAGACAAGGAUGGAGACACCAUAGAUCCCCAUAGACAAGGAUGGAGACACCACAGAUCCCUGCACACAAGGAGCAAAUAUGAGGUUACCAAGAAGAGCUGCAGCUACAUCCUGGUAGCUGUGAAAUCUCCAGGAGGCAGCAAAGAACCAAGACAGGAAACUGGCCCAGCCAUGACCAAGCUGCCUAGUGAUAACCUGGAGGUCCCCUGGGGUCUGAGACUCACAGCAGCAGUCAGGGACUUCCUGACCUGCUGCUUCAAGUUCCUGUGGCCUUGACCUCCCAGUCAUGACGGACUGUACCUUGAACUGCGAGCUAACAUGAACUCUUAAGUUGCUUUCAUCAGUUUUGUUUUUUUGUUUUGUUUUUUUUUUUUAAU